UAUUAUUAGGGGUGCGCCGCGGCAGUCACUGCGAUGCCAUGGAGCUGAGAUUAUACCCUUUGAACCUGAUGCGGUUAAUACCGCCGUAGUGAAAAUAU
RNAcentral lists this non-coding RNA (98 nucleotides) under pig gut metagenome. RNAcentral's name for it is "TPP riboswitch (THI element)". It matches the Rfam family "TPP riboswitch aptamer (THI element)", at positions 7 to 92 of the family's 105-position model. Rfam says of the family: Vitamin B(1) in its active form thiamin pyrophosphate (TPP) is an essential coenzyme that is synthesised by coupling of pyrimidine and thiazole moieties in bacteria. The previously detected thiamin-regulatory element, thi box was extended, resulting in a new, highly conserved RNA secondary structure, the THI element, which is widely distributed in eubacteria and also occurs in some archaea. The record is from RNAcentral.